Lates calcarifer (barramundi perch) is the source of this 1392-nucleotide long non-coding RNA. RefSeq lists it as uncharacterized. The record is from RefSeq and is a predicted model, not a curated record. The transcript has 3 exons. Lineage: Eukaryota; Metazoa; Chordata; Actinopteri; Centropomidae.
AAUCUGGACCACUGAGACGUGUUGGAGCAGGAGCUGGUGGCUGGUUAGAUGUGUGUAAUGCAGGGAAGAGUUUUGUUCAUCCAGCUCCUCCUCCACCACAGCGCUCACUGUUUUGUAGUUUGUUCUCUGUGAAGCACAGAGUGAGCCAUCCUCUCGCUCAGAAACGAUCUGUGCAGUGAGCCGCUCCGCCGACACGUCUGUCGGGAGACUCUGCCUGGAAACACCGCAAACUAAUCGGAACCGGCGGCCGACAGAGACGGACGGGUCUCGUAGGCUACGUGGGGGUCGAUUAGUGGGGAUUACUUCAGUGUGCACCUGUGCCAGGUGUGACUCGCUGUGUUGAUGAUGGGAGGAGAGCAGAGCCAGGAGAAGAAGGCGGAGGAGAGAGAGGAGGAGCCUGAAAAGCCCCAGGAGCCCGUCAGUGCUGAGAGCUCAGACUCUGCUGCCUCUGAAGACACUCCAGGAGAGCUGCCCCAGUGCAGGAUGGGAAACAGGAAGGUGGACAACAUGUGUUUCAUGAUCUCAUGCACCAACUGGUACUGAACUGGUCCUGGUGCAGCAGCUUCAUAGUGGACCAGAGGACGUUAACCUGAGGACGUGUGACCAUGUUCUCCUGCGACGCUGCAUUCACACACCCGCUGAAAAUCCAAAUGAAGCAGCCGCUUAAAUCCCAUGCUGCAUUGCUUCACUGCUGCCGUUAAGAGGACGUGUUUAGAACAUCCUGCAGUGUUGAUGAACAGUUAGUGCAGCUCUCCUGAUGGCUCCUGGUCUGAACUGUAUUUUACAGCUCAGUGAAUGAAAGCAGACGUAGACGACAUGUGGCGACAGAUUGAAACGCUGUGUGUAACGUGUGUGAGCUCUUAGAUUCAGUAUCAUCUGCUGUAUAAACUCUAGUCUAACCACUGUAAACAGACAUGUUAGAAACGCUCCGUACACAGAGAGCAGCAGUGACAGUGUAUCUGAGAGGCUGGUCAAAGUUAAAGAUCCUCAUCAUGUUAAUCAGUCUGUCUGCUCUGCUCGGUCAGUUCAUCAACACAGCAGGUAAAUAAAGAGAGAAGCUCUGAUGAACUGCUUCUCUGAGUCUCCUCAGUAACAGAGAACGAUUUCAGCUUCACGGCACUUUAGAAAUCCUGUGUACACAUUUAAUUGUGUAAAUAAAGUUUGUUCUAAACCUAAAUUAUUUUCUACAACAAAAGACACAGAACUCCACAGAUUACAACUGUGUGUGUGUGUGUGUGUGUGUGUGUGUGUGUGUGUCUAACAUUAGGUCUGGCUGAUUAAAAUCCCUCCAACAACGAGACGCAUGAAGCUGUUUGAUUUGUGUCUCAUUAUUUCUCAACAUUGAAUUUAACGUAUUUAAUGGACAAAAUAAAAACAUCCUGUACAAACUCA